Long non-coding RNA from Trachemys scripta elegans, 220 nucleotides. RefSeq lists it as uncharacterized. The record is from RefSeq and is a predicted model, not a curated record. The transcript is spliced from 3 exons. Lineage: Eukaryota; Metazoa; Chordata; Testudines; Emydidae.
AAAGAAAGCAAAAGUUGUUUACCUCUCUCAUUACUUGUCUGCAGGCCCCACAGGGCACGAUGAAUUCCUCUUCACUGUUGCUAUCGAAGGAGAAUAGAAUGCACAGACCAACACGGCUUCUACUCUGAAACCUGUCAUCAUGAGAUUUGUAAUAGAAUCCGAAGGUCUGGCAAUACUGAUCUUGGGAGACAGACCUGUCCUCGCUUACAGACAACCCCCC